This is a non-coding RNA of Drosophila melanogaster (fruit fly), 634 nucleotides long. Lineage: Eukaryota; Metazoa; Arthropoda; Insecta; Diptera; Drosophilidae. The record is from Ensembl.
AGGUAUUCGUUUAGCUUGUGGAAAAUAAUGACCAAUAAGCAUUAGUUCUAUUUCGGUUGCCCUGGCCACUUUUCAUUACAUUGUUUGAGCUUCAGCUGCUUGUGUUGUUUGGGCAUUUUCCAGAUUCAAUUUUUCUCGAACGCCAACACGGCGGGAAGUCGGUUUUCCGCUGCCAAUUGUUUACACGAAAACUAUAAACAAAGCAAACACACGACGUCCGUCUUCGCGCUGAUUCCUGCCUGCUCCCAUUGAUGUUAUUUUUGGCCAGUGGGCAUGAGGCUGCACCAAAUCUUCCAUCCUCUCCAGCCGACCAUACUAUAUGCGUUCCACAUAGCAGUACCAGCCGGUCAGAUGAAGAUGUAAAUGCUGGGGACCCAUAUGAUGGAGCUGGAGAAGGGGACGGUAUUGGGAAUGGGCAUGGGGAUGGGCCCGGAGGUGGAGAUGGAGGUGGGAUGGUUGGAUGAGCAGGGCUGAAUACUUAAAGGUGGCACAUACGCAUCGUUCGAUUCGGAUGCGGUCCGAUUCCUGGCAUUCUGUUUAUGCAACAAUAAAUUUUACAUUUAAUUUUCGAUACAUUUGCCAAGUCGAAGAUGCCCCGAUUUGGAUCCAUUGGAUCGCUGAAGGCGGACGAAGC